GACGAACGCUGGCGGCGUGCUUAACACAUGCAAGUCGAACGGAAAGGCCCUGCUUUUGUGGGGUGCUCGAGUGGCGAACGGGUGAGUAACACGUGAGUAAACUGCCCUUGACUUUGGGAUAACUUCAGGAAACUGGGGCUAAUACCGGAUAGGAGCUCCUGCUGCAUGGUGGGGGUUGGAAAGUUUCGGCGGUUGGGGAUGGACUCGCGGCUUAUCAGCUUGUUGGUGGGGUAGUGGCUUACCAAGGCUUUGACGGGUAGCCGGCCUGAGAGGGUGACCGGCCACAUUGGGACUGAGAUACGGCCGAGACUCCUACGGGAGGCAGCAGUGGGGAAUAUUGCACAAUGGGCGGAAGCCUGAUGCAGCAACGCCGCGUGCGGGAUGACGGCCUUCGGGUUGUAAACCGCUUUCGCCUGUGACGAAGCGUGAUUGACGGUAAUGGGUAAAGAAGCACCGGCUAACUACGUG
Molecule: ribosomal RNA, 468 nt
Filed under: uncultured bacterium
Lineage: Bacteria
Description: partial 16S ribosomal RNA
Rfam family: Bacterial small subunit ribosomal RNA
Source: RNAcentral